AGGCUUUUAUAAUAACAGUGGCUCCUGGAACAGAGCUAAUAUUUAUUAAGCACUUUUUGGUGCCAGACGUUGUUUUAAUUAGUAAUUGUUUAAUAUACACAACAGAACGAGUGAGGUGCUUUUACUAUACCCUUUUGACAUAUGAGGAAACUAGGAUGAAGAAAGCUUAAGAAAGUUUCCCCAAGUCCAACAAGUAGGGGCUGGGAUUUCAACCCUUGAAUCGUUGGCCUCCAAAGCCAGUACUCUUAGCCACGGUGUGAUUCUUGAAUUUUCAAGAUGCUCCCACCUCUGUGAACGAAGUAGGCCCUUUCGGCGCCUCAGGGAAGGAAGGAAGUACUAUCACCGAGAGGGCUUUAGAGCCAAGAGAACCGUUGGGAGGAUUUGUCACUUCCCAUUGUGUGCAUGAGGACUUCGAGGUUCAGGGUGAAGUGGCUCGCUCAUGGUCACGGUCACACAGCAAGCCCAUGUCAGAAACACCAACAGGUCCUGAGUCCCAGCAUGGAGAUCUCCUGUCUACACCAGCUGGAUCGCAGGCGUGCAGAUAUUCACCUGACUAUCAUGCUCCCAAGAGAGGCACGCGGUGUUUUCUGGAACGCGUGCCAGGCAAGCACUGAUGCCAAAGAGGAAGGCAUAGAAGCCCCGGAUGUUGGGAAUGGUCCACGGAGGUGAACGUUUUCAAGUAAGGAGAGGCAGCUAAGUUGCCGAGAUGUGAGCCCUUGCCUGGGAGUCAGAAGACCUGGGCUCGAAACCCUGUUCUGCUGCGUGAACUUUAGCAAGUUACUUGCUUUCUCUGAACUUGUACACUCCCUUGAGGACCCUAGAGAUGGAUCUGACCCGCCGACCCCUCAGCCGACACCGAACUCCUCGGCAAGACAGGACAAACCCCUGUGGCGUGGGUUUGCAGAGAGGACGGAGCUUGCACGUGUCGCUGAAGCAGGCCACCACGUUGGAGAGGCCCACGUGGCAGAGAACUGAAGGUGAUCUCUGGCCAACAGCCAGUUAGAAACUAAGACCCUCACUCCAACGGCCCCUGGGAACGGAAUUCUGCCCACAAUCAGGUGAGCUUGCGGAAACGUCCUUCCCCAGUCAAGGCUUCAGAUGAAACCGUAGUCUGACCAACCCCUUCACUCAACCCUGAAGCAGAAGAGCUCACUAACUGUGCCUGGAUUCCUGACCCACAGAAACUGGGCGAAGAUAGGCGUCUAUUGUUUUAAGCUGCUCGGUUUGUAGUCAUUUUUUACACAUUUGUAGAUAACUGACACGUAUAGCAAAACAAUCGAAAUGCUGGUUCUUGGAAUUUUAUUUUGUCCAAGAUAAUACAAGAGCAGGAAGGCGGACAGAAGGAAGCGUCAGGAAGACAGAAGGGAUGUUAAGCCACCAUUAUUCAGGAGUUAGGUUCCAUGUUGGUACCUCCCAAACUUUUCCUUCAAGGUAUCAUUCAUGGCAAAGGAUGCUGUUUAAAUAUCCGGACUUGUGGUUACCAAAUUUUAAUGAUCGUGAACCACAAAGAGAAAAACGUUGCGGGCACACGCACAUAUACGCACACUUCUGAACAAAUAUGUAUAAUGAACAUUAUAUUCUCUAUGCUUUUUCUUCAUUGUCGGCCUCUCCCCCGGAGCAUGUCAGCUCCAUGAGAGCAACAUAAUUGCAUUCUUGAUUAAUGCACGGUCUCCAGACUAAUGCUCUGCCCAGUAAAGGAAUAAAUGUAUCUGAAUGCACAUAUACAAAGAAUGAAGUUGUGAAAUGAUGGGAUAAAAUGAGCUGUUAUUUUUAAUGUUUUUUCUAAUUGUGAGGGUAUCAUACUAUCACUAGCUAAUAUCUCAGAGCCCACUAUCCCCUGGGCUCUGAGGGGGCGAGGUGUCAACAGUAGGGAUGUAAAUCCAAAUUUCAAAUGAUCUUUUGGUUAAUUUCAGUGGUUUUUGACCAGUGUCUUUCAGAUCUUAUUAGAUAACCAUCGUUUUGAUCUCACACUACAGCCGGUCAAAGGCCCGGGUGAGGGAAGAGGGCGUGAUGGCCCCUCCACACUCUUCCUCGCUUCUGCUGGCAUUCUCAUUAUGAACUUUAAUUGUGGUCUCUCCCUGGGAAUCGUCUUCAGCCACUUGUCCUUUUUGGGAAGUCUGAUGUAGUUAAACGACGUAAGAUCACCUGUAAAUCCAAUUAACUUGCGACACAUGGAAAAUACAACUCAAAAUGUACUGAAAGAAGAAAAAAUGAAUAAGAAAUAAGCGAUCUGGGGCACCUGGGUGGCUCAGUCGGUUAAGCAUCCGACUUCAGCUCAGGUCACGAUCUCGUGGUUUGUGGGUUCGAGCCCCACAUCAGGCUCUGGGCUGACAGCUCGGAGCCUGGAGCCUGCUUUGGAUUCUGUGUCUCCCUCUCUCUCUGCCACUCCCCUGCUCUCGCUCUGUCUCUCUCUGUCUCAAAAAUAAACAUUAAAAAAAAAAAAAGAAAGAAAGAAGCGAUCCAUUCCUCCUAGUGGUGACGUCCACUCUUCUCAGGAUCUUUUGUAGGAUUCAAAGCACAUACAACCUUUGUGACAUAGGGCAGAGUGAGAAAACCAGUGCAAUCAGCAAAUUUAAAAACUGUUAAAGCUUCAUUUAGUUCCCAAAUUUUAGAUUAAAAAAAUGUGAUUUAUUUAGGGACUCGACUCUGUUCCAAUGCUCUAUAGGUCUCUCCUUGUGCCAUUACCACACUGCCUUGAUUACCAUUGCUUUGUAGUAAGCAAGGGCGCCUGGGUGGCUCAGUUGGUUAAGUGUCCAACUUCAUCUCAGGUCAUGAUCUUGCAGUUCAUGAGUUCAAGCCCCUGCAUUGGGCUCUACAAGGCUGGUGCAGAGCCUGCUUGGGAUUCUCUCUGUCUCCCUGUUUCUCUCUCUCUCUCCCCCUUCCCAAACUUGCCCUCUUUCUCUCUAAAUAAGUAAACUUGAAAAAAAAAUGGUUAAAUAAAAUCUAGAAGCAUC
Neofelis nebulosa (Clouded leopard) is the source of this 2954-nucleotide long non-coding RNA. RefSeq lists it as uncharacterized. The transcript has 2 exons. Lineage: Eukaryota; Metazoa; Chordata; Mammalia; Carnivora; Felidae. The record is from RefSeq and is a predicted model, not a curated record.